RNAcentral lists this ribosomal RNA (526 nucleotides) under uncultured bacterium. RNAcentral's name for it is "bacterial SSU rRNA". It matches the Rfam family "Bacterial small subunit ribosomal RNA", at positions 984 to 1509 of the family's 1533-position model. The record is from RNAcentral.
ACAUCCAGCGAACUUGGCAGAGAUGCCUUGGUGCCUUCGGGAACGCUGAGACAGGUGCUGCAUGGCUGUCGUCAGCUCGUGUUGUGAAAUGUUGGGUUAAGUCCCGCAACGAGCGCAACCCUUAUCCUUUGUUGCCAGCGAGUUCGGUCGGGAACUCAAAGGAGACUGCCGGUGAUAAACCGGAGGAAGGUGGGGAUGACGUCAAGUCAUCAUGGCCCUUACGAGUAGGGCUACACACGUGCUACAAUGGCGCAUACAAAGAGAAGCGACCUCGCGAGAGCAAGCGGACCUCAUAAAGUGCGUCGUAGUCCGGAUCGGAGUCUGCAACUCGACUCCGUGAAGUCGGAAUCGCUAGUAAUCGUGGAUCAGAAUGCCACGGUGAAUACGUUCCCGGGCCUUGUACACACCGCCCGUCACACCAUGGGAGUGGGUUGCAAAAGAAGUAGGUAGCUUAACCUUCGGGAGGGCGCUUACCACUUUGUGAUUCAUGACUGGGGUGAAGUCGUAACAAGGUAAGCGUAGCGAG